CAGACUAACAAGUGCGUUGUUACAGUGUGCCUUCUUUUUCUGAUCAGGGUCGUUCCCGUCGUGAAGGGAAGCGCCGAGAGCUUUAAAGCCACAAGAGGGCAUGUUCUCUGUCACGUUGAUCCCCUUGACUGCUGCCCAUGCAACUUCACGUCGACAGUGUGUAUUUAGUACAUUGAUGUUCCAGGUUCUGCUGAGAACUGAAAUGAUUCCACAGCGUCUUUGUCACCUUCACACUCUCCUCUUGCUGCACAAGAGCCCAUUACUCACAAAGGUGUUGAUGAGUUACACAAGACAGACUGUUGUCUGCCUCACGCAGUACAAGGCUACCAAGGUCAUUUGAUACUAUCAAAGAGCUGGUAACGUAAGACGGAUUUGAAAUAGCUCCAUAUUACGUGGUGAAAUCCUGGAGUCAUCCUUCUCUUUGGAAAGAAGACUUAAUACUUCAAAGGUGACAUGAAGGUGAGAAUCCAGCAUACUCCAUUGUACCUCAGAUAUCUGUGUGCCUUAUGUGCAGGCAUAGCCUCACCUGGGUGUCCAAUCUGCAUUUGUUCUGUUAAAUAUAGCUUAAAGUUACUGUAUUUGCCUUCUUCCUUGGGGAAGAAAAAACAAUGUGUUUAGUCUCUUUGUUUCUUUGCUGUUUCUGAGAUUACAAUGGAAACAUUCAUGCUUUUCCUUUCAGUAAGGUCUCCUCAAUGAUGUUACUACUGUUGGGUCUGGCUUUUUUCUCAGGCUUGAAGAGUAACAGUAACUUCAAGUACAUUCCCGUUUUGAAAAGAGACUGUAAAAAUGGCAUCAAGGGCUCCUUUUUCCUUCUCACUAAGGCUGUGCCAGUACUGGCUGCAGACAUCAAAUAGAAAUUACUUUGCAAAGCUGAUGGUGCGCAAGGGACCAGCCUCCUUGAUGAAAACCAAGCCUUGCUGAAAGCACAGUUUGCACCCUGAAUGCAUGUGGGCAGGAGCUGGAUGAAUAAGAGAGAAAGUGGAUGACUUAGUUGAGGUUCUAAAGGAAUCGAGGGAGAAACUGAUAAGCAAAAUAAACCAGCUCUCCAUAACAGCUGGUAUUUGGGAGGUCCUUGUUCCCAUCCUGAGAUGGUGAUCUUCUGACUAAGCAUCUGCUCCUAUCUCUUCCGUGUGAAGUUUGGCAUACCCUUUCACAUUAGUUUGCUGUUUGGUUCUAACUAUGCCGUCUUGAACUUCUUCAUCUUUUCAAGGCAAACAUGGGUUUUGCUCCAUGACAGAUGACUUUAAAAACUCGAGUGGACAAGCAUUUUUAAUUAGAGUCAAACCAAAGUCAAAUCAGGCUGAAAUAAACUGCAUUCUGUUCUAGCACAUUAGCCCUUAAAUAAAUAGCAAGAAGCCUGGGCUGCCCUUGUACAGCAGGUGGCAUUACAGGUAAUAUUUAUCAUACUCCAAUCCCAAGGCUAAGAUAGCAGGGAGGGAGCAUUGACGUCAGCUACAAGUGAAUCAGUCUUAAUACAAGCUGAAAAACUGCUUGUGCCUUCCACAGUUGAUGACAUUGCACAGCACUUCUGCUUAGAGUUCCCCAUUGCAUUUAUUGGUCUGAGCAAGCCUAGCAGGAAGAGCUCAUUUUGUUUUGCAGCUUAACUGAACUGGUUGGAAGUGGAUCUUGGACUUUGAGGUGGGAAGAUUCCAUCCAGCUGCAGUAACCAGGGGAAUGCCCUUUGCCCUAGUUUUUGUGCCAAAUUUGUGCAUUUGAGAAUUUUAAACAAAUAUCACUUGGCAGGAUAUCAACCCUCAGGGUACAAGAAUAAUGCAGAGUGAGGCUGCAGAAGGGCAUGUCCUGGAAGGGAUUUAUGGGAGACCUAUCAGGACUCAUACUGAACAGUGGGAAAAACCAAACGCCCUGUUUCAUUUCAAACGGUUGUUCUUUGUCUCAUGGGAGCUGAGUGAGCUUCUGAAUGAAAACCAACAGCAGUUUUGCAUCUGGGCACAGUGUGAGUGAAAGAGUACAGUGCAGGAGUGAAAGAGUUCAGCAGUGGUCACUAAUUCUCAUAUGGAAGAUGCCACCUUCCUCGUGUCUGGGUGCUGAGCAGGGAUUGAGGAGCAUGAGCUAGCGUGGGAGCCCUUACUGAAACAUGGGGCUGUGCUCUACCAAGUGUGUUUGACAGCCUUGUGCUCACACUGAGUUUCCCAACCCGUGGCUGAUUGGCAAAGCAGUACAGAGAGUGUCUCAUCCAGCUCUGGGAAACACACCAUGCUUCCAACCAAACCUGGGUUCUCCAUGGCUCAACACAGUGUGUUCCCAGAGCUGGAUGGCAGUGUGCACCCAGCCACUGCAGGACACAUCAGCCUGUGCUACCCAGAGCUGCCCAGCAUUGCACAAGCUGUUAAUGAAAUGGGGGUGAGGCCAGGCUGGACUUAUCCUAGAAGGGAACUGGACAAGAAGGUGGAAGAAUGAGAGCGAGGCAGGGAAAGAAUGACUCUGGAGGAAACUCUUGACAAUAUGUGCUUCCCUUUCCUGCUAGUGAUACAGGAGGGGUGAGGCAGCAAUGCUUGUGGUGGAGGAGAGCCACCUUGCCAGUGCUGUUUGUCAUCUCACACACCCUGAUAGGCCUUGGCAGCAGCACACCCUUAUCUCCAGUGCACUGGCAAAUUUGUCUGGGCAGUGAGUUCCCAGCUCACCAAGGCCUGGGCUGCUCUUUGUGUUCACUGCACGCUCCUUCUCCGCAUUAAUUAAUUUGGUAGUGAGUUUGGAUACCACUUCAGCUUUAGGUGGAAAAUCUUCAGGCAUCGCUUAAGCCUUUUGUGGCUUAAAGGGAAUAUUGUCUCUGUCAAGAUGCACAGCAAGUGAAAUGCCUCCUGUCUCUUAGUGCUGUUAUAAUGACGGUGCUGGGCUGGGUCUGUGAGUGUGUCGCUGCUCUUCCUUUCACUGGAGCCAGCCUGAGGUUCAGGUUUCACACCUGCCUCUGCUUUAUUUAUGCCUAUUGUGUUAUAUUUACAUAUCUCGGGUUAUGGAACGUGGCAGCAGCCUCCUCGGGAAGCAUUAAGUGAAUUCACAUGUGUUGUGCACUGACCUGCUGGGGACUUCCCAAAGGACAUGCCCUUUCCUUGUCCACAAGCAGCACAGAGGAGCUGCAGAAGACAAGGAACUGGGUUUCUGAGUGCAAGUGGCUGUAUAAAGCUGUGAUGCCUUGAAGUUGUCAGUGUCUUUGAAGUUGCACAGGGGGACACUGGAAAGUUGUGUUGUUGCCUCUGGAUCAUGCUCACCUGCAAUUACCAUGAUGUUCGUGGGUUUUGCAUUGAUGACUGUGUGCUAUGGCCUUCUGCUGAGGGCUUUAUUUGGCAUUUCACAUCCCUGCUCCAAAACAUUCUCCACUUUCAUGGAUUUCCACAGAAGCCACACAAACAUCACGUGCCACAGUGAGCUGGCACUAUCCCUCACUGCACCC
Long non-coding RNA from Neopsephotus bourkii (Bourke's parrot), 3409 nucleotides. RefSeq lists it as uncharacterized. The transcript has 3 exons. The record is from RefSeq and is a predicted model, not a curated record. Lineage: Eukaryota; Metazoa; Chordata; Aves; Psittaciformes; Psittacidae.